AUUGAACGCUAGCGGGAUGCUUUACACAUGCAAGUCGAACGGCCGCGCGGACUUCGGUCUGGCGGCGAGUGGCGAACGGGCGAGUAAUGUACCGGUACGUGCCCAGUCGCGGGGGAUAACUACGCGACAGCGUAGCUAAUAUCGCAUCCGCCCUACGGGGGAAAGGAGGGGAUCGUAAGACCUUGCACUUUUUGAGCUGACGGAAUCGGAUUAGCUAGUUGGUGAGGUAACGGCUUACCAAGGCGACGAUCCGUAGCUGGUUUGAGAGGACGACCUGCCACACUGGAACUGAGACACGGCCCAGACUCCUACGGGAGGCAGCAGUGGGGAAUUUUGGACAAUGGGGGAAACCCUGAUGCAGCCAUGCCGCGUGUGCGAUGAAGGCCUUCGGGUUGUAAAGCACUUUUGGCAGGAAAGAAACGUCGCGGGCUAAUACCCCGUGGAACUGACGGUACCUGCAGAAUAAGCACCGGCUAACUACGUG
This 484-nucleotide ribosomal RNA is filed under the name uncultured bacterium. RNAcentral describes it as "partial 16S ribosomal RNA". It matches the Rfam family "Bacterial small subunit ribosomal RNA", at positions 30 to 507 of the family's 1533-position model. The record is from RNAcentral.